This 368-nucleotide ribosomal RNA is filed under the name uncultured organism. Its description in RNAcentral is "bacterial SSU rRNA". It matches the Rfam family "Bacterial small subunit ribosomal RNA", at positions 526 to 896 of the family's 1533-position model. The record is from RNAcentral.
CGGAGGGUGCAAGCGUUAUCCGGAUUCACUGGGUUUAAAGGGUGCGUAGGUGGGUCCGUAAGUCAGUGGUGAAAUCUCCGAGCUUAACUUGGAAACUGCCAUUGAUACUAUAGAUCUUGAAUAUUGUGGAGGUCAGCGGAAUAUGUCAUGUAGCGGUGAAAUGCUUAGAUAUGACAUAGAACACCAAUUGCGAAGGCAGCUGGCUACACAUAUAUUGACACUGAGGCACGAAAGCGUGGGGAUCAAACAGGAUUAGAUACCCUGGUAGUCCACGCCCUAAACUAUGGAUACUCGACAUUUGCGAUACACUGCAAGUGUCUGAGCGAAAGCAUUAAGUAUCCCACCUGGGAAGUACGAUCGCAAGAUUG